Molecule: small nuclear RNA, 164 nt
Organism: Mangifera indica (mango)
Lineage: Eukaryota; Viridiplantae; Streptophyta; Magnoliopsida; Sapindales; Anacardiaceae
Product: U1 spliceosomal RNA
Exons: 1
Source: RefSeq, a predicted model, not a curated record
ACACUUACCUGGGCGGGGUCAAUGGGUGAUCAACAAGUCCCAUGGCCUAGAAUGGAGGCUCACAUUGCACUCUGGGUGCUCCACUCUAACUUCUCCCUCAGUGGGAAGGGAGACUGUACGUCACAAUUUGUGGAAGUGGGGGCCUGCGUUCGCCCGGCCCCUGC